Molecule: transfer RNA, 71 nt
Organism: Loxodonta africana (African savanna elephant)
Lineage: Eukaryota; Metazoa; Chordata; Mammalia; Proboscidea; Elephantidae
Rfam family: tRNA
About the family: Transfer RNA (tRNA) molecules are approximately 80 nucleotides in length. Their secondary structure includes four short double-helical elements and three loops (D, anti-codon, and T loops).
Source: Rfam
GCAGUGGUGGCUCAGUGCUAGAAUUCUCGCCUUCUAUGCAGGAGACUUGGGUUCAAUUCCCGGUCAAUGCA